UAAUACGUAGGUGGCGAGCGUUGUCCGGAUUUACUGGGCGUAAAGGGCUUGUAGGCGGUCCGUUAAGUCCGAUGUGAAAUCUCCCGGCUCAACUGGGAUAGGUCAUUGGAUACUGGCGGACUAGAGGGGGGUAGAGGAGAGCAGAAUUCCUGGUGUAGCGGUGAAAUGCGUAGAUAUCAGGAGGAAUACCAGUGGCGAAGGCGGCUCUCUGGGCCUACCCUGACGCUGAGGAGCGAAAGCGUGGGGAGCAAACCGGA
RNAcentral lists this ribosomal RNA (257 nucleotides) under uncultured prokaryote. Its description in RNAcentral is "partial 16S ribosomal RNA". It matches the Rfam family "Bacterial small subunit ribosomal RNA", at positions 521 to 777 of the family's 1533-position model. The record is from RNAcentral.